UACGUAGGGUGCAAGCGUUGUCCGGAAUUAUUGGGCGUAAAGCGCGUGUAGGCGGCUUUGCAAGUCGGGUGUGAAAGCCCUCAGCUCAACUGAGGAAGUGCGCCCGAAACUGCAGAGCUUGAGUGCCGGAGAGGGUGGCGGAAUUCCCCAAGUAGAGGUGAAAUUCGUAGAUAUGGGGAGGAACACCGGUGGCGAAGGCGGCCACCUGGACGGUAACUGACGCUGAGACGCGAAAGCGUGGGUAGCAAACAGG
This 253-nucleotide ribosomal RNA is filed under the name uncultured bacterium. RNAcentral describes it as "partial 16S ribosomal RNA". It matches the Rfam family "Bacterial small subunit ribosomal RNA", at positions 524 to 776 of the family's 1533-position model. The record is from RNAcentral.